This 231-nucleotide long non-coding RNA is filed under the name Elaeis guineensis (African oil palm). Its description in RNAcentral is "long non-coding RNA (EGUI_LNC012944)". Lineage: Eukaryota; Viridiplantae; Streptophyta; Magnoliopsida; Arecales; Arecaceae. The record is from RNAcentral.
ACUCCUCACGAAUGCUAGUUCAUUGCAGAACCCUUUCGACUCCCAAUGUUGAUCGAACUCCUUCGAUCUUGAUCUAUCGACUCUUCAGACACUCUGAAUCAUCAGCAGAUAUACAUCAUCAGCAGAUAUACUUGAGAGGUUGAUGAAGCUCUCCCUAAAAUCUUGUGGGCUCACGACACUCGUAGCUCACUUUCUCACUUCCCGAACCCUAGGCAGAAACCCUAGGGUACU